Long non-coding RNA from Ailuropoda melanoleuca (giant panda), 1186 nucleotides. RefSeq lists it as uncharacterized. The transcript has 3 exons. The record is from RefSeq and is a predicted model, not a curated record. NCBI's taxonomy places the organism in Eukaryota, Metazoa, Chordata, Mammalia, Carnivora, Ursidae.
GCCGCUUCUCUUUGGCCCCCACUUCACCUUAUGUCCACUUUUAAUCAUUUUGUUUCAAGUCCUCCUGGAAGAGCCAGCCAUGCACAGCUCUAUCCCGCGUCCGUGGAAAGUACGGCGCAGGUUGUGACAUAAAUUAUGCUCGCAGAAAUAAUAAGUUAAUUUCAGAGACUUUGGGACUUCUGCAAACUAUGGACGUUAACACUUACCUGCCAGGUGGGAUUAUGAUGAUAAAGGACAAUAAACGUAGCCUGGCACAGAGGUCCUUUCAGCUUUUCCUCUGAUGUGCAGUAGUGUUUGGAGGGGGGAAAUGUUUGAAAAUAAAUCAACACCGAGUGAACAACAUUAUGAACUGGAAUCGUUCCCGGCGUCUUGCUCCGCUUGCAAUCCUCCAGGAGCUCCAUGACAUAGUGUUGACAGGCGGGGCUCUUGCUUGCGGGAUGCUCCCCACACUUUGAACAGAGACCUUACAGCCAGGAUGCGUGGGUCCAAGAAUCACGUUGCCAUCCUGGCGCUUGGGGCCCUGCUGGCUUGGAGGUCUUAGGUUCCCAGGUGAGAACGGCUCCGUCAAGUGACAUUAUAAUGACUCCACGAAACUGGAGAAGGAGAUGUCCACUUCGUACGGCCACUGUGAGGUCCUGACACCCCUGGACCCACAGCUGAAAAGCAAGGAAGUCUAAUGGCUGCGUUAUUGCCUCUGAUGACUGAGAGGAUAUGGGGUUGCUACCAAAUAUUGGGGGCGCAGAGGACCAUGGGGCUGGGACCCAGGGCAUUUUCUGAGUGCCUCUAAGCCUCUAUGGAAGAACUAACCAACAGUAGAUUUUAAUGGAAAACUAGAGAAAGGCUCCCCCUCCUCCCUCAGAAAAAGCAGGAUGAUGAAGAACUCAGAUCCUUUGGGAAUGAAGGCUUGGGCUCCUCCACCAUGUCGAGAACCCAGAGCAGCCCAGGUGCCGGCUGAGGGCAAGGGAAACACGAAACAGUGGAAGAAAGAAGCCAUAAACACCGACAUGGCUUCAUGACAGUUACAAAACAAGGACUGUAGGCACUUGGCAUCCACUUUGCAUAUUUUCCAUUUGCUUAUAUGUACGUAUUUUUUCUUUUUUAAAAAAGAUUUUAUUUUAUUUUUUUAUUUGACAGAGAUAGAGACAGGCAGUGAGAGAGGGAACACAAGCAGGGGGAGUGGGAAAGG